AGCGAACGCUGGCGGCAUGCCUAACACAUGCAAGUCGCACGGGGGGGCUUCGGCCUCCCAGUGGCGGACGGGUGAGGACCGCGUAGGGACCUGUCGAGGGGUGGGGGAUAACCGCGGGAAACUGCGGCUAAUACCGCAUGACGCCGCGGCGUGACAGCCGGGGCCAAAGGCGAAAGCCGCCCGCCGAGGGGCCUGCGUCCGAUUUGCUGGCUGGCGGGGUAGCGGCCCACCAAGGCGUCGAUCGGUAGCUGGUCUGAGAGGGUGAUCAGCCACACCGGGACUGAGACACGGCCCGGACUCCUACGGGAGGCAGCAGUGGGGAAUAUUGGACAAUGGGCGCAAGCCUGAUCCAGCAAUGCCGCGUGGGUGAAGAAGGUCUUCGGAUUGUAAAGCCCUUUCGGCGGGGACGAUGGUGACGGUACCCGCAGAAGAAGCCCCGGCUAACUUCGUG
This 451-nucleotide ribosomal RNA is filed under the name uncultured bacterium. Its description in RNAcentral is "partial 16S ribosomal RNA". It matches the Rfam family "Bacterial small subunit ribosomal RNA", at positions 28 to 507 of the family's 1533-position model. The record is from RNAcentral.